RNAcentral lists this ribosomal RNA (698 nucleotides) under uncultured bacterium. Its description in RNAcentral is "bacterial SSU rRNA". It matches the Rfam family "Bacterial small subunit ribosomal RNA", at positions 57 to 748 of the family's 1533-position model. The record is from RNAcentral.
GCAGUCGACGGUACAGGAAGCAGCUUGCUGCUUCGCUGACGAGUGGCGGACGGGUGAGUAAUGUCUGGGAAACUGCCUGAUGGAGGGGGAUAACUACUGGAAACGGUAGCUAAUACCGCAUAACGUCGCAAGACCAAAGAGGGGGACCUUCGGGCCUCUUGCCAUCGGAUGUGCCCAGAUGGGAUUAGCUUGUUGGUGGGGUAACGGCUCACCAAGGCGACGAUCCCUAGCUGGUCUGAGAGGAUGACCAGCCACACUGGAACUGAGACACGGUCCAGACUCCUACGGGAGGCAGCAGUGGGGAAUAUUGCACAAUGGGCGCAAGCCUGAUGCAGCCAUGCCGCGUGUAUGAAGAAGGCCUUCGGGUUGUAGAAUUUUUCAGCGGGGAGGAAGGGAGUAAAGUUAAUACCUUUGCUCAUUGACGUUACCCGCAGAAGAAGCACCGGCUAACUCCGUGCCAGCAGCCGCGGUAAUACGGAGGGUGCAAGCGUUAAUCGGAAUUACCGGGCGUAAAGCGCACGCAGGCGGUUUGUUAAGUCAGAUGUGAAAUCCCCGGGCUCAACCUGGGAACUGCAUCUGAUACUGGCAAGCUUGAGUCUCGUAGAGGGGGGUAGAAUUCCAGGUGUAGCGGUGAAAUGCGUAGAGAUCUGGAGGAAUACCGGUGGCGAAGGCGGCCCCCUGGACGAAGACUGACGCUC